AUGCGGCCAGACGGGAAAUUGCCGCCGCCACAUCCAUCGUUGGCCCCGCUGCCGCAACGGCCGCAGCAAGCGACGGGAACAGACAUGGACCCGCACGCCAGGCUGCCGGACCCGGUGCCGUCGCCGAUACUGAAGCACUCGCCGUCGAUAUCGCGCUCGCUGCGGUCGGCGGCAGACACGUCGUCCGUCACCUUCGCGGCCGACUUCCGGUCGCCCUCCAAGCCGGAAUCCACCUCGCCGUCCUUCGACAGCUUCCGGACGGCCCGGUCGAGGCCGUCCAGCGUCUCGCGGUCGUCCACCAGGCGAUCCGCGUCCGAGCGUGCCGGCUCGCAGCGGGACCUCCGCGACGAGGACGCGCGAUUCGUCUACAUCAACGACGCGCCGCGCACCAACGCGCCGCCGGCCAUGUUCCCGGACAACUCCAUCCGCACCUCCAAGUACUCCGUCCUCACCUUCAUCCCGCGCAACCUCUACGAGCAGUUCCACAGGGUGGCCUACAUCUACUUCCUCAUCCUGGCGGUGCUCAACUUCGUGCCGCAACUCCUCGUGCUGUCCAAGGAAGCGGGCGUUCUGCCGCUGGCCUUCGUGCUCGGCGUCACGGCAGUGAAGGACGCGUACGAGGACUGGAGGCGGCACCGGUCAGACAAGAAUGAGAACAACCGCACGGCGUCUGUGCUCGCGGACGGCGUGUUCCGGCCGAAGCGGUGGAAGGACAUUCAGGUCGGCGACGUGGUGCGUCUCGUGGCUAACGAGACGCUGCCGUGCGACAUGGUUCUUGUGUCCACGAGCGACCCCACCGGCGUGGCCUACAUCCAGACCAUCAACCUCGACGGCGAGUCCAACCUCAAGACGCGCUACGCCAAGCAGGAAACCAUGUCCACGCCGCCGGAGGCGCUCGCCGGUGUCAUCAAGUGCGAGAAACCCAACCGCAACAUCUACGGCUUCCUCGCCACCGUGGACCUCAACGGCCGCCGCGCCAUCUCCCUCGGCACCUCCAACGUCAUGCUCCGCGGCUGCGAGCUCAAGAAUACGGUCUGGGCCAUCGGGGUGGCGGUGUACACCGGCCGGGACACCAAGGUCGUGCUCAACAGCUCGGGUGCGCCAUCCAAGCGCAGCCGCCUCGAGACGCACAUGAACCGCGAAAUCAUCGCGCUCGCCGUGGCUCUGGUCGUCCUCUGCUCGGUGGUGUCUCUCCUCGCCGGCAUCUGGAUGGGUGACCAUGUCGAUCAGCUCGGCAUCAUCCCCUUUUUCCACAAAUACGACUACUCGGGGGCUGCUGCGCACGACGACGGGAGGUACAACUGGUACGGCACGGGCGCGCAGGUGGUGUUCACGUUCAUGUCGGCGGUGAUCCAGUUCCAGGUGAUGAUCCCCAUCGGGCUCAUCAUAUCCAUGGAGCUCAUCAGGGUGGGGCAGGCAUACUUCAUGGUGCAGGACAACCGCAUGUUCGACGAGAAGAGCCAGGCCAGGUUCCAAUGCCGGGCGCUCAACAUCAACGAGGACCUGGGGCAGAUCAAGUACGUCUUCUCCGACAAGACCGGCACGCUCACGCAGAAUCGGAUGGAGUUCCGCUGCGCCAGCGUGCAAGGCCGCGACUUCAGCGAGACCGACGGCGGCGAGGAGGACGGACAUGCCGUGCAAGCGGACGGCGUGGUUCUGAGACCCAAGACGGCGGUGACGACGGACCCGAAGCUGGCGGCGCUGCUCAAGGACGGGAUGGGCGCCAAGGCCAGCCGCGCCCGCGACCUGUUCCUGGCGCUGGCGACCUGCAACACCAUCGUGCCCAUCGUCGAGGACACCGUGAACCCGGCGGCGAAGCUGGUGGAGUACCAGGGCGAGUCCCCCGACGAGCAGGCGCUGGUGUACGCCGCCGCGGCGUACGGGCACAAGCUCGUCGAGCGCACCUCCGGCCACAUCGUCGUCGACGUGUUCGGCACCAGGCAAAGGUACGAGCUCACCACCCCGCCCGUUUACUGCAAAAUUUUUGCUUCUCAAUUUCUCACAGCAUGGCAGCCGUUGGUGAAAUUGUUCUGUUUUGUUAGGAUUUCACUGCAUUGUUUGUGGUUGAAAUUUCUGUUUGUUUGUUGCCAUAACGAUAAAUAUGCGAGGUUGUGUUGCGAUCGACAUUGA
RNAcentral lists this ribosomal RNA (2130 nucleotides) under Triticum aestivum (bread wheat). Its description in RNAcentral is "partial small subunit ribosomal RNA". Lineage: Eukaryota; Viridiplantae; Streptophyta; Magnoliopsida; Poales; Poaceae. The record is from RNAcentral.